AUUUACUAAAGUGUGGUCACAGAGGAAAACCAAAGCUCUGCCCUUUCAGACUUUCCCCGGAUGAGAGGAAUUUGAUUUGGUACUCAGGGCAGCAGGAAAAGCAUUUGCGAUUGAGUUCGGUUUCGAAGAUUAUUCAAGGGCAGGGAAAUAUAAGGUGCCAAAGGCAAAAUGAAGCUGAAAAGGAGUG
Long non-coding RNA from Arachis stenosperma, 187 nucleotides. RefSeq lists it as uncharacterized. The transcript is spliced from 3 exons. The record is from RefSeq and is a predicted model, not a curated record. Lineage: Eukaryota; Viridiplantae; Streptophyta; Magnoliopsida; Fabales; Fabaceae.